RNAcentral lists this unclassified non-coding RNA (561 nucleotides) under Hevea brasiliensis (rubber tree). The record is from RNAcentral. Lineage: Eukaryota; Viridiplantae; Streptophyta; Magnoliopsida; Malpighiales; Euphorbiaceae.
GGAGUAGUUAGCAAUUCGGUAUUCUUUUACAUGCCAUUUAGCAGUGUCAAAGAGUUUUGCAUUCCCUGAUUGUAGUGCUCCUAUUUAUGUGUCUAUGAUAUACCUGUUCUCUGCCAGCAGCAUUAAUAUUUUAUUGCUUCUAUUUAUUGCUCCUAUUUAUUGCUUGGGAAGAAGUAAUAUUUUAGAUUGAGAUGCUGUUAUGUUCUUGCAACUUGCUACUCAAUUUGAUCAUCAUAUGCUUGCACCUGGAUAGUGUUCUUGUCGUCAUUGAUUAUGCUAUUAGACUCGUAUAGAUUCUACACUGGAUCGCAUGAAUGAUGGAAAAAAGGGUGCUAAGUUUCUGAAGCUAGUUUCCUUUGUUGCUGCUGUGAGCCACCAAUCAUUUGCUCCCUUCCUUUCUUCAAUAUAUGUGUGUGUGUUCCAUUGUUAUUCCUUGCUUACUUGUCAUUUCUUUUUUUUCCUCAACCUUACCCUUUCAUUUUGACAUGGUUCUUUUUCUUAUUGAAUUUUCAUUUGCCUAUUUAUAUGAUCUUUUAGGCCUUAUUCUAUUCGGCUUUGCGU